GUGAGGAAUAUUGGUCAAUGGGCGAAAGCCUGAACCAGCCAUGCCGCGUGAAGGAUGACGGCCCUAUGGGUUGUAAACUUCUUUUAUACGGGAAGAAACUUCUCUACGUGUAGGGAACUGACGGUACCGUACGAAUAAGCAUCGGCUAACUCCGUGCCAGCAGCCGCGGUAAUACGGAGGAUGCAAGCGUUAUCCGGAUUUAUUGGGUUUAAAGGGUGCGUAGGCGGAAAUUUAAGUCAGUGAUGAAAUCCUGCGGCUCAACCGUAGAACUGUUAUUGAUACUGAAUUUCUUGAAUACAGUUGAGGUAGGCGGAAUGAGUAAUGUAGCGGUGAAAUGCUUAGAUAUUACUCAGAACACCGAUUGCGAAGGCAGCUUACUAAACUGAUAUUGACGCUGAGGCACGAAAGCGUGGGGAGCGAACAGGAUUAGAUACCCUAGUAGUCC
Molecule: ribosomal RNA, 445 nt
Filed under: uncultured bacterium
Lineage: Bacteria
Description: bacterial SSU rRNA
Rfam family: Bacterial small subunit ribosomal RNA
Source: RNAcentral